GUAAUUUGCAGAGGAUGCUUCGGGCGCGGUGCCUUCCAAGUCCCCUGGAACGGGGCGCCGGAGAGGGUGAGAGCCCCGUACGGUUGGCGGCCAAGCCUGUGUGAAGCUCCUUCGAC
RNAcentral lists this ribosomal RNA (116 nucleotides) under Chaetosphaeria sp. RNAcentral describes it as "partial large subunit ribosomal RNA". Lineage: Eukaryota; Fungi; Ascomycota; Sordariomycetes; Chaetosphaeriales; Chaetosphaeriaceae. The record is from RNAcentral.